RNAcentral lists this ribosomal RNA (492 nucleotides) under uncultured bacterium. RNAcentral's name for it is "partial 16S ribosomal RNA". It matches the Rfam family "Bacterial small subunit ribosomal RNA", at positions 29 to 507 of the family's 1533-position model. The record is from RNAcentral.
AGUGAACGCUGGCGGUAGGCCUAACACAUGCAAGUCGAACGGCAGCACAGUAAGAGCUUGCUCUUACGGGUGGCGAGUGGCGGACGGGUGAGGAAUACAUCGGAAUCUACUUUUUCGUGGGGGAUAACGUAGGGAAACUUACGCUAAUACAGCAUACGACCUACGGGUGAAAGCAGGGGAUCUUCGGACCUUGCGCGAUUGAAUGAGCCGAUGUCGGAUUAGCUAGUUGGCGGGGUAAAGGCCCACCAAGGCGACGAUCCGUAGCUGGUCUGAGAGGAUGAUCACCCACCCUGGAACUGAGACACGGUCCAGACUCCUACGGGAGGCAGCAGUGGGGAAUAUUGGGCAAUGGGCGCAAGCCUGAUCCAGCCAUACCGCGUGGGUGAAGAAGGCCUUCUGGUUGUAAAGCCCUUUUGUUGGGAAAGAAAAGCAGCAGGUUAAUACCCCGCUGUUCUGACGGUACCCAAAGAAUAAGCACCGGCUAACUUCGUG